Molecule: RNA transcript, 2505 nt
Organism: Vespa crabro (European hornet)
Lineage: Eukaryota; Metazoa; Arthropoda; Insecta; Hymenoptera; Vespidae
Gene name: LIM domain only protein 3-like
Exons: 6
Source: RefSeq, a predicted model, not a curated record
GAUGGAGACAAGCGAAGAGGGUGAGCUUAAAGCUUUUGAAAAUCAUCGACUGUGGCGGAUGUGGUCGAUCUAGGUGAUUUGUGAUUCUCUCUCUCUCUUAUCUCGUUUUAUAGUUCUAUUCUCCAGGUUACUAUUUAAUAAUAUAUAACAUUAGAAUAUAUUUAAGCAUAUUUAUUACAAUUUAUAAUAUUUAUUUGACAAGAUGAAACUCUGCUCGUGAUUCUUGAUUCGUAUACGUGCCUUGGCCAAAGGAGAUACUGAUAAUAAAAAAUCGUGGGAUAUAAAAUAAUUCAAACAAAUGCCGUGAACGAGGAGAGGCAGGAGGUAGGUUCGAGCUGCCGCGAUAUAUCCUGGGCUGGGCUUAUCCGUUGGCUGGUCAUUCAUAAACGAGGGAAAAAAUGACACUCUAACGGCUCGCUAUUCGUAACUGUUAGGAAGUGGGAGAGAUUUGUUGGCGUCGUACGUAACGACGGGAAAGGGAUUUUCUACGACGCGCGGAUGAUAACGUUCUAUCGAGGUACGUGAACCAACUACCGUCGCAUGUCUAUAAAUUAUCUCCCAUUAAUCAGUAUUUCCGAUAAUUCGGAGGAUCGCGAAAUUUCUUCGAUAGACGAACGGAUAUAGAGGAAGAAGAAAAAAUAGAAAAUGUGAUCGCAGAAAAUUUCGACGAGCUCGAAAAGUAAAAGAGAAUAAAGGUAGCUACGAGAGUGCCCUCUUGUGAGCUUCAUAUCGAAGUCCGGUCCACCCCCAUGGAGCAACGUCCCGGGGGUGUGAUCGCUGCUAACUAAACUUGUAAAUCUCUCUCUUUCUCUUUCUCCCUCUCCCUCCCUCCCCCUCUCUCUCUCUUGAUCCAGGCCUCCCUAGACUGACCAGAACGCAUUUGUCUGUCUUACACUCUCGGUGUAAAUACACGGUGUCGUAGGAGUCCCUGGAAAUUAGACGCGUUCCAUUACGGAUGUUACACUUCUCGCUUUCCAAUUGGAAAAUUAAAGAUAACACGAUAUGUACGUUGAAGUUGGUCAAAAUGUGUUACGAAGCAAAAUAACGUCGGUCUUUCUCGUUCGUCCUUCGCGAAAUCAUCCUUCUCUAGACCAUAAACUUUGAUGUACGAAUCUCCGUCGAGACACAUAAAGGCAGUUUGCGCGAAACGAUCUUGGGAUUCGAGUAGGUGGAGGAGCAGUCGAGAAAGCAAGGAACGUGGCAAGGUCUAGGGCGAUAUCAGAAACAAAAGGUUCGCAAACGAGAAGUUACGAGGGAUCUUUUAUGCCUCGCUUGUCUCGCGUAUUAUUAUGACGGAUGUCGUGGUUAAGCGUUUCUACGUAACGCGAUUCCGCGACUUUAGACUCUCAUGUUGCCGCGAGAACGGCCGCGAUACUCACGUGUGUAUCGUACUGGAUAUAGGAGUUGCCUCGAUGAACUUGAAUAUAUCACGAGGGAUGGUUAUGGGACGCAACGUGCGUGCGAGUGGCUGCGCGACGAUCCUUCUCCCGCUCGCAAAUCAAACCACCACGACGAUCCUUCUCCCUUAUACAGGUUUAGUCCGAGCGGACUAUCGGAGCCGUUCGAUAUUCUCGUUGAGAGAGUUAGUGAGUGCGUUCGAAGAAAGUGUUCGACAAAUGUGCAUCAACGAGGAAGAUCGUCGAUUAGAUCUCCGACGGGGAAUCGGAGAUAAAAAGAUGAUGAUGGACGUGAGCAAGAAUGAACCAAGUAGUAAAAACGGGGCGACUCAGCAAGAAUGUGCUGGUUGUGGCAAGACUAUCACGGAAAGGUAUUUAUUGAAAGCCUUGGACUUGUACUGGCACGAAGACUGUUUGAAAUGUGGUUGCUGCGAUUGCAGACUAGGAGAGGUCGGUUCUACGCUUUAUACAAAGGCCAAUUUAAUUCUCUGCAAAAGAGAUUACUUGAGGCUCUUUGGAAACACCGGCUACUGUGCGGCAUGUAACAAAGUCAUACCAGCGUUCGAGAUGGUAAUGAGAGCAAGAACUAACGUCUAUCAUCUGGAAUGUUUUUCCUGUCAAGAAUGCGAUCACAAGCUACGAACCGUCGUUACGAGCUCGUUAAGGAUGAAGUUUUGCACAGCUCAUCAGAAGGGUAGAAGGAUGCCCAAGGGCCAGUCUCCAGUCGGACGGCCUUCCACUUUUCGAGGGUGGAGGAUGGAUUCGAAGUCCCAAGGGUGAAAUGGCUCAUUCCGACGCACUUAUCCGGCACACGCCGUAGAUAACCAUAGAUUAAUGGGGCUAGGAGACUCGGAAGGCGGCGGAAGAGUAGUGAGAGCUAGAGAGAGAGAGAGAGAGAGAGAGACAAAGAGAUAGUUCUGCUAAAGUAAAUGGAAGAAAAGGAAAGACGGAAUGGGAUCUAUAAGAGACCAAGAAGAUUUUGCGUGGGCGAUCAGUUUUAUCUCUAUGAGAAUAAAAUUCUCUGCGAGUAUCAUUACAAGGAGAGAGUCUAUUUCGCCAACAUGCCGCAUCCUCCGCCGAACGAUACUUUAGCGCAUAUUAAAAGACA